RNAcentral lists this long non-coding RNA (899 nucleotides) under Olea europaea subsp. europaea. Lineage: Eukaryota; Viridiplantae; Streptophyta; Magnoliopsida; Lamiales; Oleaceae. The record is from RNAcentral.
AAAUGAAUUGCCAAGUCACUAAUACCAAACCCCUAACAAGCAAUUCAAACUGAAGGUGCGAGAUGAAAACUUCAUUCCAGAACGAGAUCUUCAUCUCUCAAAAAUCCAAUUCAAUCCCUACCCCCAACUUCGAUACCAAACACAACUUACCCAUCUCAAAAGUGAAAUCACGAUCUAGAAUCUCAUCCUCCCAAAAAAGAUCGAACAAUUGCACUGUUAAAGGUGAACCCUAACCGAACGUCCGUCGCCGUUGAAAGUCCACAACCCAACCACGAAAUUGGGUUUUUCAAGAAGUGCACAUGGAGGGAGAGAAUCGACGUAAAUCCUAAAAUUUAUUUAUGGUUUCUUCAUUUUCAUCUUUACCACACAUGGAAUGUAAAUAUUUAAAAAAAAAGAAAAGAAAAAAAGGGAUACCUGAUUGCACGAUCUUGGUGGUUUCUUUUUCCCAUUUUUUUUUUUCCUGUGUACUGCUUGAAUUUUAAUGUAGUUGUCUGUUAAAUAAUAUAUAUUCCUUUGCUAGUUUUCUAUGGUUCAUAUUAUUAUUGUAUACCAUUUAGUAUAAUUGCAUCGUAGUUAUGGGGAAACCUCAUUAUCAACAAUGUGCUAACUUAAUUUUCUUGCGCUUGGUUUAUUUGAUAUGGGUAUUAUCCAUAAAUAUUAGUUUAGUAAAACAAAUAAAGCAAAGUACAUACGAAAGUGUUGCUGAUCAUCUUCAGUUUCUUGUUGAUACGACAGAUACGAAGGAUGACACUGAAUUCAAUAAUUCCAAUAACGACAUAUGGUCUACUGAAGACGAUAUGCUACUUGACAAAAUGUCACGGAGGGAAUUGAAUUAAAUACUUAUGAUAUUACUUAGGUAUGUGUGUAGUUUACUGAGAUUAUAAGUUGCUUAAUAAGGU